GACGAACGCUGGCGGCGUGCUUAACACAUGCAAGUCGAACGGUAAGGCCCUUCGGGGUACACGAGUGGCGAACGGGUGAGUAACACGUGGGUGAUCUGCCCUGCACUUCGGGAUAAGCCUGGGAAACUGGGUCUAAUACCGGAUAGGACCCUGGGAUGCAUGUCCUGGGGUGGAAAGCUUUUGCGGUGUGGGAGGGGCCCGCGGCCUAUCAGCUUGUUGGUGGGGUGAUGGCCUACCAAGGCGACGACGGGUAGCCGGCCUGAGAGGGUGACCGUGCACACUGGGACUGCAAUACGGCCCGGCCGCGUACGGGAGGCAGCAGUGGGUAGGAUUGCAGAAGGGGCGUAAGCCUGGUGCAGCGGCGCCGCGUGAGGGAUGACGGCCUUCGGGUUGUAAACCUCUUUCAGCACCGACGAAGCGCAAGUGACGGUAGGUGCAGAAGAAGGACCGGCCAACUACGUGCCAGCAGCCGCCGUAA
RNAcentral lists this ribosomal RNA (478 nucleotides) under uncultured bacterium. RNAcentral describes it as "partial 16S ribosomal RNA". It matches the Rfam family "Bacterial small subunit ribosomal RNA", at positions 28 to 523 of the family's 1533-position model. The record is from RNAcentral.